RNAcentral lists this ribosomal RNA (202 nucleotides) under Halomonas halophila. RNAcentral's name for it is "partial 16S ribosomal RNA". It matches the Rfam family "Bacterial small subunit ribosomal RNA", at positions 1329 to 1532 of the family's 1533-position model. Lineage: Bacteria; Pseudomonadati; Pseudomonadota; Gammaproteobacteria; Oceanospirillales; Halomonadaceae. The record is from RNAcentral.
GAAUCGCUAGUAAUCGUGGAUCAGAAUGGCACGGUGAAUACGUUCCCGGGCCUUGUACACACCGCCCGUCACACCAUGGGAGUGGACUGCACCAGAAGUGGUUAGCCUAACUUCGGAGGGCGAUCACCACGGUGUGAUUCAUGACUGGGGUGAAGUCGUAACAAGGUAGCCGUAGGGGAACCUGCGGCUGGAUCACCUCCUU